GGGCUUUGAAUGGAUGUAGCUGUGCUGUGGCCAUCAAUACGAGUCCUCAUUUUAUUGAGCGAUUCUAUUCUUAGCUCUGGGGUGGGGGAGGCAGACAGAGAGCCUGCUCCCCAUUCCAUUCCCCUCCUAGGACGGCAUUUAACAUGUUGCUCCUGCCAGCUGGCAGGCAGCCACACCGAUGGCCCUGUCAGCACCGGCAGUGGAGAAUGAGAAACUCAACCAUAAAAGCGUUUCCUGGACUCACCCACGACCGUGAGGUUGACUUGGGCCUGCCUGCUGCCCAGCUUGUUCUCCACCACCAGUGUGUAGCAGCCACAGUGCUCCUGCCGCGCGGCCAGGAUGGUGAGCUUGCUGCCGCUCUCGCCAUUCUCCACCUUGAUAUGCUCGCUCUCCUGGAUCUGCGGGUACAGAAAACUCCCCAAAACUACACUGGCUGUUGCAAUCCCCUCCAGAAGGAGCACCCCAAGCCCUAAGGCUUCCUUGCUAUGCCCUAUGUCUGAGCAAUGCCCUGGAAGUCGCUACAGUAAGACAGCUUCUGGACACACAGAGGUUCACU
RNAcentral lists this long non-coding RNA (556 nucleotides) under Mus musculus (house mouse). RNAcentral describes it as "RIKEN cDNA E130310I04 gene". The record is from RNAcentral. Lineage: Eukaryota; Metazoa; Chordata; Mammalia; Rodentia; Muridae.